CUAUAUGGAAAACCGUUGCCAAACACUCUAUUUGGUGCAGUGAUUCUCAAAUUAUGGGUAAGUUACCAAAAUCUCCUCAUGGACAUUUUCACAUUGCAUGGUGCAUGAUUCCUGCCCCCUAGUCUGAUUUGGGGCUCGACCCCUUGACUGAGAAAUGCGAUCGUAGUAAACAUGCUUUUAUCAUGGAAGUGUCUUGUCCUUUCUUUAACUUUUUUCAAGAUUUUUUUUGGCCUUGUACCACAUGGGAUCU
RNAcentral lists this long non-coding RNA (250 nucleotides) under Bos taurus (domestic cattle). RNAcentral's name for it is "long non-coding RNA NONBTAT013601". The record is from RNAcentral. Lineage: Eukaryota; Metazoa; Chordata; Mammalia; Artiodactyla; Bovidae.